UUUAAGCCAGAAUCGCAAUUUUGCUUAUUCGGCACGACAUUAUAUAUAUAUAUAUAUAUAUAUAUAUAUAUAUAUAUAUAUAUAUUAUAUAUAUAUAUAUAUAUAUAUAUAUAUAUAUAUAUAUAUAUUUAGCCUUGAAUAUAUUAUAGACAAGGUUGUGUGUGCCGCCUUCUUUCCUCAACUCACAAACACAGUCAUCUGGAACAUUAAGACAGGUGUUGGCCCGGUGUCCUGGUGUUGGCCCGGUGUCCUGGUGUUGGCCCGGUGUCCUAAUGUUGGCCCGGUGUCCUGGUGUUGGCCCGGUGUCCUGGUGUUUAGUGACAGGACAUGCAAGUGUGAAUAUCAAGUGAUUACUGACAUAUUUAGUAUGUAAAAAGCUGACCUAGUUCUUAAUUGUUGGAGAUGAAGGUGGUGGUGGGUACUGGUGCAGGUGGGUACCCAGUGUGCCCCGGGCACCGCUCCUGGCAGGUGGGUACCCAGUGUGCCCCGGGCACCGCUCCUGGCAGGUGGGUACCCAGUGUGCCCCGGGCACCGCUCCUGGGUAUUGCGGUCAAACAUAUGGCCUUCCCUAAUAUUCUGACACUAAUAUAACUUGCAGUUACAAUUAAAAAAUUACUUUAUAUGUUUAUUUAUGACAAGUAAAUAUGUAAUUUUA
This is a non-coding RNA of Cherax quadricarinatus, 655 nucleotides long. The record is from RefSeq and is a predicted model, not a curated record. Lineage: Eukaryota; Metazoa; Arthropoda; Malacostraca; Decapoda; Parastacidae.